This 1377-nucleotide ribosomal RNA is filed under the name Streptococcus thermophilus. RNAcentral's name for it is "bacterial SSU rRNA". It matches the Rfam family "Bacterial small subunit ribosomal RNA", at positions 71 to 1435 of the family's 1533-position model. The record is from RNAcentral. Lineage: Bacteria; Bacillati; Bacillota; Bacilli; Lactobacillales; Streptococcaceae.
GAGAGGAGCUUGCUCUUCUUGGAUGAGUUGCGAACGGGUGAGUAACGCGUAGGUAACCUGCCUUGUAGCGGGGGAUAACUAUUGGAAACGAUAGCUAAUACCGCAUAACAAUGGAUGACACAUGUCAUUUAUUUGAAAGGGGCAAUUGCUCCACUACAAGAUGGACCUGCGUUGUAUUAGCUAGUAGGUGAGGUAAUGGCUCACCUAGGCGACGAUACAUAGCCGACCUGAGAGGGUGAUCGGCCACACUGGGACUGAGACACGGCCCAGACUCCUACGGGAGGCAGCAGUAGGGAAUCUUCGGCAAUGGGGGCAACCCUGACCGAGCAACGCCGCGUGAGUGAAGAAGGUUUUCGGAUCGUAAAGCUCUGUUGUAAGUCAAGAACGGGUGUGAGAGUGGAAAGUUCACACUAUGACGGUAGCUUACCAGAAAGGGACGGCUAACUACGUGCCAGCAGCCGCGGUAAUACGUAGGUCCCGAGCGUUGUCCGGAUUUAUUGGGCGUAAAGCGAGCGCAGGCGGUUUGAUAAGUCUGAAGUUAAAGGCUGUGGCUCAACCAUAGUUCGCUUUGGAAACUGUCAAACUUGAGUGCAGAAGGGGAGAGUGGAAUUCCAUGUGUAGCGGUGAAAUGCGUAGAUAUAUGGAGGAACACCGGUGGCGAAAGCGGCUCUCUGGUCUGUAACUGACGCUGAGGCUCGAAAGCGUGGGGAGCGAACAGGAUUAGAUACCCUGGUAGUCCACGCCGUAAACGAUGAGUGCUAGGUGUUGGAUCCUUUCCGGGAUUCAGUGCCGCAGCUAACGCAUUAAGCACUCCGCCUGGGGAGUACGACCGCAAGGUUGAAACUCAAAGGAAUUGACGGGGGCCCGCACAAGCGGUGGAGCAUGUGGUUUAAUUCGAAGCAACGCGAAGAACCUUACCAGGUCUUGACAUCCCGAUGCUAUUUCUAGAGAUAGAAAGUUACUUCGGUACAUCGGUGACAGGUGGUGCAUGGUUGUCGUCAGCUCGUGUCGUGAGAUGUUGGGUUAAGUCCCGCAACGAGCGCAACCCCUAUUGUUAGUUGCCAUCAUUCAGUUGGGCACUCUAGCGAGACUGCCGGUAAUAAACCGGAGGAAGGUGGGGAUGACGUCAAAUCAUCAUGCCCCUUAUGACCUGGGCUACACACGUGCUACAAUGGUUGGUACAACGAGUUGCGAGUCGGUGACGGCGAGCUAAUCUCUUAAAGCCAAUCUCAGUUCGGAUUGUAGGCUGCAACUCGCCUACAUGAAGUCGGAAUCGCUAGUAAUCGCGGAUCAGCACGCCGCGGUGAAUACGUUCCCGGGCCUUGUACACACCGCCCGUCACACCACGAGAGUUUGUAACACCCGAAGUCGGUGAGG